Misgurnus anguillicaudatus (oriental weatherfish) is the source of this 528-nucleotide non-coding RNA. The record is from RefSeq and is a predicted model, not a curated record. Lineage: Eukaryota; Metazoa; Chordata; Actinopteri; Cypriniformes; Cobitidae.
CUCAGCGAGUUUAAUACAAAUAAUUGCAACAAUCACACAACUGAAACAGAGCAAAACUCAACACAAUGGGUAACUUUCAUCCUCAUUUUUGGUCUGCUGAAUGGUGUCCUGUUUGUUACAGGAUUAUUAAAUGUUUGUGCUAUUGAAAAUGGAUGUUGGGUCAAAUCUGGAAAUAGAUUAGGACAAUUUUAUCAAACUGAUCGACAGCAGAUACAGAUUGUAAAACAGCCACAAGAUCAAUUACAGUAUGUGACGGUGGUUUACCAAGCGGUGUAAAAAUUCAACUCCGCCAACACAACAGCAGCUAUGCUAAGCUGUCAAAAACACCAACACAAAAUAAGACUGACAUCUUAUUUUAAUGUUUCUUUCACUGAUUCUCUGGACUUUGAUGAAAAGCAACGACUCAACAAGACAUUAAGACAUUAAACCGAAUAAAUUACAUUUUUAUAGAUUAUAUAUGUUUUGGUCAAUUUUUGUUUAUCAUUUCUGACUUUUUAUUUUAUAUCAAUGCCUGAAUGUAAAAGGAAA